GCCAAAUAUGCUGGGAAAGUUUAGCGUAGUGAAGAAUGAGAAGUAAAGCCAGUGCUUGGCCAACACUGGCGAUGCGUGCACUCGGGUCCUGCUGACGAAAAAUAUGCAAGAACAAAAACAGAGCAUCCAUCUGGAGCGCCGGGUUUUCAAGAUUGGGGGGACACCAGGAUCAGACAAGAGGACAGGUCGCCCGGCUUUAACGUGCUCAAUGCCAGCCCCUGACGUCCCUGCGGAGGCCGCGAGAACAGGAUGGUGUCGUGCACCUUCCCACAGGGGCUGUGACAACUGAACAUGAUUGUUUCCUGUUCUCACAGCAAGGCUUCCAGAAAGUGAACAGUCUCUGCCCUGGGAGCCGGAUCUCAUGAAUUAGCAGAGGUGAGAGGAGAAGGCUCUGAAUUACAUUUCAAGACUUGUGAGGAUUUGUAUUCUAUCCAUAGAAUUUAUCACAACACAUCAAAGCAACUUUGAAACAGAAUAAAUAGGCAUUUGUUUCAUUUACGUACUCAAGUAUGGCUCUAUUCUCAAAGAGUGAUCUCCCACCUUUCAUGAUUUAAAAAAUAUGUAAUUCUGAAACCAAAAUUGAAACCUAUACUUAAAGUGAUGUUGUAUCUUUGCUUGUAUUAGGAUGGUUCAUUUUUCAAGGUAUCCCUGAGACAAGACUUCAGCCUUUGUGCAGAGGGCAUGCUGCUGUUCUAUAAACUUGGCUUUGCACUUUUAGUGUCCACUCCCUCAGAGAAAAAAAUCUCUGGAACCACACACAAGAUGUUGUUUCCCUUUCCUAUUGCUUUGGUUUUGUCCUCACUCUGUUUUUUCCCGCAAAAGAAGUGAUGUCCAGCAUUUUCUU
Heterocephalus glaber (naked mole-rat) is the source of this 844-nucleotide non-coding RNA. Lineage: Eukaryota; Metazoa; Chordata; Mammalia; Rodentia; Bathyergidae. The record is from RefSeq and is a predicted model, not a curated record.